Molecule: non-coding RNA, 499 nt
Organism: Cyanistes caeruleus (blue tit)
Lineage: Eukaryota; Metazoa; Chordata; Aves; Passeriformes; Paridae
Source: RefSeq, a predicted model, not a curated record
GCUCCCCGGGGCCGCUGCGCUGGCCGGCGCUGGCCACUAGGUGCCGCUGCAGCAAUAGGUUUCCGUCCGUGCGCUGAGGGGCCCGGGCGCUCGGCUUAACGAUUCAAAUGUAUUCCUGCUAAUUUGUGUUUGAUAAAGGCUGAACAGGCCCAGUUCUCAUCUUUGUAACCCUCUGCUGGACUCAUUCAGGAAGCUCCAUGUGUCUCUUGUACUGAGGAGCCCAGAAGUGGACACAGCACUCCAGAUGUGGCCUCAUCAGUAGAGGGGCAGGUCUACCUCACUUGACCUGCUGAGAAUGCUGUUUCUAAUGCACCUGAGGUAUUCACUGUCCCCCUUUGCCACAAGGGCAUAUUGCUGGUUCAUGGACAAAUUUGAAGUUCAGAAUGUGCAUGAUCAGUGGAAGCAGUGUUGAUAUUCAUUCUCCAGAAUUUGCAUUACCUUCCUUUUUUGUUAUGAGAAGUACUUCUGACUAAUAAAGUCCUCUGUAGUUUAAACCUUC